Molecule: ribosomal RNA, 253 nt
Filed under: uncultured bacterium
Lineage: Bacteria
Description: partial 16S ribosomal RNA
Rfam family: Bacterial small subunit ribosomal RNA
Source: RNAcentral
UACAGAGGGUGCGAGCGUUGUUCGGAAUUACUGGGCGUAAAGCGCGUGUAGGCGGCCAUCUAAGUCGGGCGUGAAAUCCCACGGCUCAACCGUGGAAGUGCACUCGAAACUGGAUGGCUAGAGUCCUGGAGAGGAAGGUGGAAUGCUUGGUGUAGAGGUGAAAUUCGUAGAUAUCAAGCGGAACACCGGUGGCGAAGGCGGCCUUCUGGACAGUGACUGACGCUGAGACGCGAAAGCGUGGGGAGCAAACAGG